GGGUCUGUGAGGGUCUGAGUGCCCAGUAAUCUCAGGGUCUGGGAAGGUCUGAGUGCCCAGUAAUCUCAGGGUCUGAGAAGGUCUGAGUGCCCACUAAUCUCAGGGUCUGAGAGGGUCUGAGUGCCCAGUAAUCUCAGGGUCUGGGAGGGUCUGAGUGCCCAAUAAUCUCAAGGUCUGGGAGGGUCUGAGUGCCCAAUAAUCUCAGGGUCUGGGAGGAUAUGAGUGCCCAGUAAUCCCAGGGACAGGGAGGGUCUG
Molecule: non-coding RNA, 255 nt
Organism: Chiloscyllium plagiosum (whitespotted bambooshark)
Lineage: Eukaryota; Metazoa; Chordata; Chondrichthyes; Orectolobiformes; Hemiscylliidae
Source: RefSeq, a predicted model, not a curated record